GUGGUGACUCAGUGGUAAAACGCUUGCCUAGCAUGUGUGAGGCACUGGGUUCAAUUCUCAGCACCACA
Molecule: transfer RNA, 68 nt
Filed under: Marmota monax (woodchuck)
Lineage: Eukaryota; Metazoa; Chordata; Mammalia; Rodentia; Sciuridae
Description: tRNA.Ala
Source: RNAcentral